RNAcentral lists this ribosomal RNA (1049 nucleotides) under Microbacterium sp. Its description in RNAcentral is "bacterial SSU rRNA". It matches the Rfam family "Bacterial small subunit ribosomal RNA", at positions 397 to 1460 of the family's 1533-position model. The record is from RNAcentral. Lineage: Bacteria; Bacillati; Actinomycetota; Actinomycetes; Micrococcales; Microbacteriaceae.
CCGCGGAGGGAUGCGGCCUUCGGGUUGUAACCUCUUUUACCAGGGAGAAGCGAAAGUGCCGGUCCUGCAGAAAAAGCGCCGGCUAACUACGUGCCAGCAGCCGCGGUAAUACGUAGGGCGCAAGCGUUAUCCGGAAUUAUUGGGCGUAAAGAGCUCGUAGGCGGUUUGUCGCGUCUGCUGUGAAAUCCCGAGGCUCAACCUCGGGCCUGCAGUGGGUACGGGCAGACUAGAGUGCGGUAGGGGAGAUUGGAAUUCCUGGUGUAGCGGUGGAAUGCGCAGAUAUCAGGAGGAACACCGAUGGCGAAGGCAGAUCUCUGGGCCGUAACUGACGCUGAGGAGCGAAAGGGUGGGGAGCAAACAGGCUUAGAUACCCUGGUAGUCCACCCCGUAAACGUUGGGAACUAGUUGUGGGGUCCAUUCCACGGAUUCCGUGACGCAGCUAACGCAUUAAGUUCCCCGCCUGGGGAGUACGGCCGCAAGGCUAAAACUCAAAGGAAUUGACGGGGACCCGCACAAGCGGCGGAGCAUGCGGAUUAAUUCGAUGCAACGCGAAGAACCUUACCAAGGCUUGACAUAUACGAGAACGGGCCAGAAAUGGUCAACUCUUUGGACACUCGUAAACAGGUGGUGCAUGGUUGUCGUCAGCUCGUGUCGUGAGAUGUUGGGUUAAGUCCCGCAACGAGCGCAACCCUCGUUCUAUGUUGCCAGCACGUAAUGGUGGGAACUCAUGGGAUACUGCCGGGGUCAACUCGGAGGAAGGUGGGGAUGACGUCAAAUCAUCAUGCCCCUUAUGUCUUGGGCUUCACGCAUGCUACAAUGGCCGGUACAAAGGGCUGCAAUACCGUGAGGUGGAGCGAAUCCCAAAAAGCCGGUCCCAGUUCGGAUUGAGGUCUGCAACUCGACCUCAUGAAGUCGGAGUCGCUAGUAAUCGCAGAUCAGCAACGCUGCGGUGAAUACGUUCCCGGGUCUUGUACACACCGCCCGUCAAGUCAUGAAAGUCGGUAACACCUGAAGCCGGUGGCCUAACCCUUGUGGAGGGAGCCGUAGGA